GUUCUCAGUUCGGACUGCAGUCUGCAACUCGACUGCACGAAGCUGGAAUCGCUAGUAAUCGCGGAUCAGCACGCCGCGGUGAAUACGUUCCCGGGCCUUGUACACACCGCCCGUCACACCAUGGAAGUCUGCAAUGCCCGAAGCCGGUGGCCUAACCACUUAUGUGGAAGGAGCCGUCUAAGGCAGGGCAGAUGACUGGGGUGAAGUCGUAACAAGGUAAC
This 221-nucleotide ribosomal RNA is filed under the name uncultured bacterium. RNAcentral describes it as "partial 16S ribosomal RNA". It matches the Rfam family "Bacterial small subunit ribosomal RNA", at positions 1284 to 1500 of the family's 1533-position model. The record is from RNAcentral.